Molecule: non-coding RNA, 238 nt
Organism: Podarcis lilfordi (Lilford's wall lizard)
Lineage: Eukaryota; Metazoa; Chordata; Lepidosauria; Squamata; Lacertidae
Source: the annotation of a GenBank genome assembly
CACAGAAAGGAUUGACAGAUUGACAGCGGUUUCUCGAUUCUGUGGGUGGCCGUUCUUAGCUGGUGGAGCGACUUGUCUGGUUAAUUCCGAUAACGAACGAGACUCUGGCAUGCUAACGAGUUAUGCGACCCCCCAGUGUUCCUUUUUAACCAGACUUUUGGUUGAUUUGAUUGACAUCCUAUGCCCUUUUAAAAUGUGGCUCUUUUGGGAGGGAGGGGUGUUAUUGGGUUUUUGUUUU